UACGGAGGGUGCAAGCGUUAUCCGGAUUCACUGGGUUUAAAGGGUGCGUAGGUGGGUCUGUAAGUCAGUGGUGAAAUCUCCAAGCUUAACUUGGAAACUGCCGUUGAUACUAUAGAUCUUGAAUGCUGUGGAGGUGAGCGGAAUAUGUCAUGUAGCGGUGAAAUGCGUAGAGAUCGGGAGGAACACCAGAGGCGAAAGCGGCGACCUGGACAAGUACUGACACUCAACUACGAAAGCGUGGGGAGCAAACAGG
Molecule: ribosomal RNA, 253 nt
Filed under: uncultured bacterium
Lineage: Bacteria
Description: partial 16S ribosomal RNA
Rfam family: Bacterial small subunit ribosomal RNA
Source: RNAcentral